RNA transcript from Hippopotamus amphibius kiboko, 5939 nucleotides. It is a transcript of the gene named vacuolar protein sorting-associated protein 33B-like, with no coding region annotated. The transcript is spliced from 8 exons. NCBI's taxonomy places the organism in Eukaryota, Metazoa, Chordata, Mammalia, Artiodactyla, Hippopotamidae. The record is from RefSeq and is a predicted model, not a curated record.
CGCUUUGCCAGCGGGCGGGCCUUCCGGGAGGGGUGGGAAGUGGCUCGUGUCUCUGGCAGGAGGCGGGUGUGUGUGCGGGUGUAGACCCGAAUCCUGCGGGCGGGCGGAGGGGCCGCAGGCCUGAGGCGAGGUCCCCCGAGGCUGCGGCUGCUCGGCCGGGAGGCGGCCAUUCGUUCCUCCGGUGGGGCGGCGCAGCGAGGGCCCCUGCGGGGGCUCUUCCGAAGCCCGUGCCCUCACCUGAAGGAGGGCCGUCCUGCGCUUGCCCGGCUUCCCCGGCGCGCUGCCGGUCAUCCCCCUUCCACCGUGCGGCUCAGGUCACCGCUGCCAUGGCUUUGCCCCAUCGGCCGGAUGCCCCGGAGCUGCCUGACUUCUCGAUGCUCAAGAAGCUGGCCCGAGACCAGCUCCUCUAUCUGCUGGAGCAGCGUCCAGGAAAAAAGGACUUGUUCAUUGAGGCAGAUCUCAUGAGCCCUUUGGAUCGAAUCGCCAAUGUCUCCAUCCUAAAGCAACACGAAGUAGACAAGCUGUACAAAGUGGAGCACAAGCCAGCCCUCAGCUCCAGUGAACAGCGAGUGUCUGGAAGACUCUGUCUCGGCUCCAAGCUGGAGGAGGUCCCUGCACACGUGCCUUUGAUCAGUCCUUAGCCGAGAUCUGGCACCUUGAUGUUUGUGAUAGGGUUCACCUCCCUUCUUUUUUACAGUUUCACCCCAGGUUAUGCUUUAGCCUCUUAAUUGGUCUCCCUUUCUGCCGUUUCUCCCUCCCUUGUCCUCUUCUCUCUCUAUGGCCAAUCUGCCAUCUCUAACCAGACUGAUUAUUCUUUCAAAACUAUUUUCACUGUGCUCUCCUCAAGAACCUUCAAGGCUUCCUUUACUUACCCAGAGAGGUCCAUGUUGCUUGUCGUAGAUUCCAAGGCUGCCUCUAGGGAGGCCUCUCAGCCCCUUUCCAGCCUGGUGACUUGCACAUCGCCCCUACUUGGCUCAAAACUUUUCACAUGUUUCCCAGCUCUGCACACGUACCUCUGUGCUUUUGGCCACUCCACCCGCUCUGCCUGAAAUUCUCUCCUCUCCUCACUGUUGUGAAAAAUACCCAUCUUUCAGGGCACAGCCCCACCCCCUCCACGCAGCUGUCAGUUGCCAUUCCAGGGUGAUUUUCUCCUCUGGGUUUGCAUGGGGUUCAGUGUUUGUCCCAUUCACCUGGCACAUGGUCACAUCCUGCCUGUUGUCUGGUGUUUGCUUUUAUUGUUAAUAUUUCUCAACCUAAGUAAUGUACACCCUCCCUUAGAGGAAAAAGCUCUCCUGGAUACGUGGGACUACAUCGCUGAACCCCAGCUGGAAGAACAUUAUUUUAUAUACCUUCUUGUAUUGUUUUUUAACACUUGAUUGUUGACAUACUCCAUAGGUACGUGCAUCUUAUUUGAGAGCAGGAACUCCUGGGUCUACCAUAAGGCCAGGAAGUGCCCCCAGCUCACCAGGAUAUACCUGCUUUGUCUAGGGGAGUCUUCUGUGGUUGGUAUGUGGUGAGCCAGGAGAUCUGCCAGGGCUUUGGCUGGGGUGAGAACUGUAGCACAUGGUGGAAGAGUUGGCAUUGUUUAAGUUUCUUCUAAGCUGCUGUCACCAACUUCAUGAGUUUUCUUCACUGAGGUGUGUUGGUUUUGUUUUCCCCCCUUCUCUCCCACAGAUUGUGCUUCUUGGUCAGACCUUGCAUCAAGAAUAUGCGGUAGACAACGAGGGGGGAGUCAAGGAAGGGAGGGAAUACGGGGAUAUGUGUAUAAAAACAGAUGAUUGAACUUGGUGUACCCCCCCAAAAAAUAAUAAAUAAAUAAAAUUUAAAAAAAUAAAAGAAAAAAAAAGCAACAACAAAAAAGUUACACCCUAAAAAAAAAAAAAAAAAAAAAAAAGAAUAUGCGGUACAUUGCCAGUGAGUGUGCCAUGGUGUUCAUUGUAACUAAGACUUGGGAAAGGGGGGAAGGUCUGAGGGCCUUGGCCAUAGGAACUCUGUCCCCUUGUAAAGUCUCUCUGCUUCCUUGCUUCUGGUCUAACAAAGGCCCAUGGCUUUCUGGGUUGCAUCCCUUCUGUCUGUAGAUCUUGUCAACGCUGACAAAAUGGCUGGCCGAACUCGGAAAUACAAAGUGAUCUUCAGCCCUCAGAAGAGACGUUCUGGGAGCUUGGUAACUGGACACAUUGUUCUGCCACCUGUGGCCACUUGGGAGCCCGAGUUCAGAGACCUCAGUGCCUGAUGGCCAAUGGGCAGGAAGUGAGUGAGGGCUUCUGUGAUCACCUCCAGAAGCCACUGGCUGGGUUUCAGCCCUGUAACAUCCAGGACUGCCCCUCGAGCUCUACUCUCUGAAGCUGUUACCAAAAUUCAAGGGCAGUGAGGCCACACAACACCAAGACAUCAGCGUUUGGAGCAGAGAAUGGUUAAUUACAGGGCCAUGCAAGGAGAUGGGUGGCUCAUGCCUGAAAACCCCCCCAAAACGUGAAAGCUUUCAGCAAAGCCCUCUUAUGGGAAAGGGGGUGCACGGGCGCGUUCACCGAGUGCUCUGUGUCCUGUGGUGAAGGACUCUGCAGUCGCCACGUGACAGGUCAGCGCACAGGAGCCAAUGGAAUGUGCAGGUGAUGCCUCCGAGAGCUUGUGACCCAAAGCCAGGCCUCUGGGAAGAAGACCCUGUUCCAGUCACGUGUGUGUUCAAGGGCUCGCUGAACCAGGGAACCAGUGUCCUGGUCGUUGCCUGGGUCGCGCUGUGAGGAUGCAGCAGCAGCAUAUCGUUUGUCAACACCCCAACAGUUCUGAGUCUGGCUGUGAUGACAAAAGGAGACCCGCCUUUAGGAGGAACUGCUCGUCGGGGGUUUGUGACGCAUGUUGGCGCGCAGGCCCUUGGAGACCCUGUAUGGCAACCUGUGGCCACGGCGUCCAGGCUCGGAAGGUCGACUGUGUCCACGCCAGCAGCUGCAAGCCGGUGGCUGAGAGACUCUGUGUGCCGAGCGAGAGACCCACCUCCUGGCGGCACUGCCUUGGGCCUUCCUGUGAUAGUACGUACCCCUCUCAGGUACCACGACCGCCCCAAAGCCUUGUCCAAACCAGACCUCGUGCAGCCAGCCUUGUCCGGGUCUCGUCUGCAGGGCCAUUCUGAACAGAUGUGGUAUCUUGGGACAUUAGGAGAUUAGCUGCUUUGAUGUGGGUGCAACUCAGUGUUCUUUAGAGAAAAAAACAGUAGAGUGGGUAGGGUGGUCAGUGGCCUUCUAGCAAGCACUGGUAGCCUCUCCCCAGACUCCCUUCUGCUUGGAGUUUCAGCGCCUCAGACAGGGCUUCCGCAGAUGGGAUUGGGCAGGUUUGCAAAUGUCCUGAGGUUAUAUAUGAAAUAUAAUCAUAUAUUUUUCUAGGGAGCCAGACCAUAGCUUUGAUGAGGUUCCCUGGGGUCCAUGACACCCCAAAAGCUAAUGCUGCUGUCAGCACUGGGAGGAGCAGGUGGCUCCAGGGCUGUGAAGUCCCCAGAGGGCAGUGAGAGGCCACUUGUCCCAGCUAAGGAGUGAAUCUAGGGCACUUCUGACUCCAGUGCAAAGCAGUGGCCCUAACCCAAGCCUAGUUUUUUUGCUUCAGUCUGUGAUCUCAAUUUCUGCUUUUCAUAGAAUCAAGUGCUUUUUUAAAAACUAGGUCUCUGAUGAGCUAUGUGUUAAAUGGAUAUAUAUAUAUAUAUAUAUAUAUAUAUAUAUAUAUAUAUUGCAGGAGAGUGCACAGACACAACCCACUACUGUACGUUUGUAAAGCAUCUUAAUUUGUGUUCGCUAGACCUCUACAAACAAAGGUGCUGUCAGUCGUGUCAACAAGGAUAAAACUUUGGGAGGGGGAGUCGUAAUGCUGCUGUGAAGAUAAAAUAAGUAUGUAAAAGCUCGUUUCCACAUGUAGCUGGUACAAGAACAUGUAUUUCUUUUUUCUUUUUUUUUUUUUUUGGCACAUGGGCUUAGUUGCUCAGCGGCAUGUGGGAUCUUCCUGGAGCUGGGAUCGAACCCGUGACCUCUGCAUUGUCAGGUGGAUUCCCAACCACUGCGCCACCUAGGAAGCCCAAGAACAUGUAUUUCUUAAAAAAACAAAAACAAAGAAAAGAAAAACAAAAAAACAACUCUAGAUUCUGCAAUCAAACAGAAGUCAGUGCAGAAUCACCACUGUUAAAAUUUGGCAUUGUCCUUUCCCCAUGGCCAGUUUUUAAUUCCAGCUCUUUUAAAUGGUAUAUUCCAGGACUAACAUAAAAUACCAUAGCAGGCAGGCCAUUGCACUUGGGACCUCGUCGUGUUCUUCUAAUCAGGAAUUCACCAAGAUCACCUGUGCAUUGUCACGAGCUGCCUCUCCCAGUGAUUUGUAGUCUAGUCCAGAGUAGCACAUCCUGAAGCACUUGGGAAGCACAGCAACAGAUGACUUCUCUCAGCUUUAGGGUUGUAACAGGUUUAUAAGACAUUUACAUUGUAGAAGCUCUGGUCAGUAGUUGUUAAGAUGCUGGCUCUAAUGGCAUGUUAUAGAUCCUUACGUUCAGUCUGUGAAAAGGAGACAGUCACUCUGGACAGGCUCGUAACCCUGACUGAUCCACGGGUCCUGGGGGGAUGGUAUCUUGUCCUUGCCCUUAGAGAACCUAUGGGAGAAAACAGAGUAAACGUUGCUGCCAUUGUCAUAACUAUGGAAAUCGAUCUGAGACCAAAUGAGGCAUCUUGGAAAUCAAAGGAGAGGGAAGGUUAACCUUUUCUACUGAUUUUGAAGUACGUUCAAAGCGUGCUUUUAAGAGCUGUGAAUGAGAUUUUCUAAGCACUAUUCUCUUGCACACAAACAGAGAAAUCAAAGCCUUAUUAGACCUAAUUUAUGCAUAAAAUAGUAUUCCUAAGGAUUUUUAUUUUGGAAAAAUUAGAAGAAAGUAAUCUAACUAUGAAACAUGAUAGCUGAAAGGAGUUGUUUAUACUAAAUAAUUGUUUUCAUUUGAACUGAUUUUUCAGUAAAUCCAAAGCGCGUUAGGGUUGGGCUGGAAGGUACAGUUGGGCUGAGGGGUUAGAGUUAGGAUUUGGUGAGCAAGUUUAGGGUUCUUUUUAUUUUGGGGGUUGGGUUAGGUGAGGCGAAUGGAAGGUAAGUUAGGGUUAAGGCUAGAGUUGGCUCUGUGCAUUAGGGUUAGGUCAGAGUUGGCUUGGGUUUGGAUCGGCCAGUGCUGGUGUUAGUGAUGGUGUCAAGGUGGAGGUUAAGUUUGGAGUAGAUGUUGCUGCUGAAGGAGUUUGGGACCAGUAUUCAACUGUAAAUUCUAAAGCUGAUGUGGUGAGGGGGCUCUUUCCUUAACAUCCUACCAGUUAUGGCUGUAGAUGGCACGCAACCCCAAAUAAAGGGUCGUACUUGUUUACUCGGGGCCCCCGCUGCCUGUACGCAUGCUGCCUGUAGCCUGUUGGCAGCAGAGUUACCCGAAGCAGGUGUGCUGACCCUCGUCCCUGGUCACUCACACGUGGACAGUGGGUUCUGGCUUUGGAUCUGCCUGUGGACCAGCUCGCUGAGUCUCUCUGCCAUAUCCUGAGCCCCAGGCCCCCUGUUCUAACUGCAGGCUCACCGACCCUGGGAUGAGCGACGCAGCGUGCGGAGGGCUUGGUGGUGGGAAUGGGGGCGGGGACGUGGCGGGGACGUGGUGGGGACGCCCCAGCCCGUGAGUUGUUCAUCAUCCAUCCCACUUGGUGGUUCAGGCUUUUUAAGUUAAAAGAGAGAUCAUUUGUACACUACUCUUUGUAUAUAUUUAUUAUAUGACGUAAAGGUGCAAUAUUUUAUUUUGUACAGUAUGUAAUAAAGACAGGGGACAUAUAUUUUUCUUAUUAACAAAAUCUCUUAUUAAAUUGCUUCAGCUUUGUAUUCAAAGUUGCUAUUUUUCAUUUGCUAUUGUACUUUUUGUCUUGUUAUCAUUCAAAUGACAUUCCUGCAUACUGGAUUUU